Molecule: non-coding RNA, 438 nt
Organism: Phoenix dactylifera (date palm)
Lineage: Eukaryota; Viridiplantae; Streptophyta; Magnoliopsida; Arecales; Arecaceae
Source: RefSeq, a predicted model, not a curated record
CUAGAGUCGCUAUAUAAAGAGCUUUACCUUACCACCAAACAACACAAGCACAAUGACAUCCAAGAAUUCCAUUGCUAUUCUGGUCUUUCUCCUUGUUACUCUCAUUAUGCCUGCCCAAUCCACCAGUUAUCCAAUUCAUGAUCAACAAAUUGUACGCUGCAUUUAUAUGGGGCCGUGCGUAAAUAGUCGUCAUUGUGAAAAGCAUUGCCAAUUCAAUCACCAUCUUCUUGGGAAAUGCGCUGAUUAUAACAAUACACAAAUUUGCUGCUGUCUUCCACCAUGAUUUGGAAGGGAGUUCAGGAGGCCUUUUCGUUAAUACAUAUGUAGUCUUCAUGAGUUUCAUUUUGUGCCACUAUGCCCGCUUUCAUGUUCUCUGCUCUCUAUAUGGAAGGAAAUAAAUGAAAUAAUUUAUAAACAAGAAAGCAAUAGAAAAAGAAA